This 637-nucleotide ribosomal RNA is filed under the name unidentified microorganism. RNAcentral describes it as "bacterial SSU rRNA". It matches the Rfam family "Bacterial small subunit ribosomal RNA", at positions 50 to 699 of the family's 1533-position model. The record is from RNAcentral.
UACACAUGCAAGUCGAACGGUGAAGCCCNGCUUGCGGGGUGGAUCAGUGGCGAACGGGUGAGUAACACGUGAGCAACCUGCCCCUGACUCUGGGAUAAGCGCUGGAAACGGCGUCUAAUACUGGAUACGAGACGUGAUCGCAUGGUCAACGUUUGGAAAGAUUUUUCGGUUGGGGAUGGGCUCGCGGCCUAUCAGCUUGUUGGUGAGGUAAUGGCUCACCAAGGCGUCGACGGGUAGCCGGCCUGAGAGGGUGACCGGCCACACUGGGACUGAGACACGGCCCAGACUCCUACGGGAGGCAGCAGUGGGGAAUAUUGCACAAUGGGCGCAAGCCUGAUGCAGCAACGCCGCGUGAGGGAUGACGGCCUUCGGGUUGUAAACCUCUUUUAGCAGGGAAGAAGCGAGAGUGACGGUACCUGCAGAAAAAGCACCGGCUAACUACGUGCCAGCAGCCGCGGUAAUACGUAGGGUGCAAGCGUUAUCCGGAAUUAUUGGGCGUAAAGAGCUCGUAGGCGGUUUGUCGCGUCUGCUGUGAAAUCUGGGGGCUCAACCCCCAGCCUGCAGUGGGUACGGGCAGACUAGAGUGCGGUAGGGGAGAUUGGAAUUCCUGGUGUAGCGGUGGAAUGCGCAGAUAUCA